GACGAACGCUGGCGGCGUGCCUAAUACAUGCAAGUAGAACGCACAGUUUAUACCGUAGCUUGCUACACCAUAGACUGUGAGUUGCGAACGGGUGAGUAACGCGUAGGUAACCUGCCUGGUAGCGGGGGAUAACUAUUGGAAACGAUAGCUAAUACCGCAUAAUAUUAAUUAUUGCAUGAUAAUUGAUUGAAAGAUGCAACUGCAUCACUACCAGAUGGACCUGCGUUGUAUUAGCUAGUAGGUGAGGUAACGGCUCACCUAGGCGACGAUACAUAGCCGACCUGAGAGGGUGAUCGGCCACACUGGGACUGAGACACGGCCCAGACUCCUACGGGAGGCAGCAGUAGGGAAUCUUCGGCAAUGGACGAAAGUCUGACCGAGCAACGCCGCGUGAGUGAAGAAGGGUUUCGGAUCGUAAAGCUCUGUUGUAAGAGAAGAACGGGUGUGAGAGUGGAAAGUUCACACUGUGACGGUAGCUUACCAGAAAGAGACGGCUAACUACGUG
Molecule: ribosomal RNA, 505 nt
Filed under: uncultured bacterium
Lineage: Bacteria
Description: partial 16S ribosomal RNA
Rfam family: Bacterial small subunit ribosomal RNA
Source: RNAcentral